RNAcentral lists this ribosomal RNA (312 nucleotides) under uncultured Spirotrichea. RNAcentral describes it as "SSU rRNA". It matches the Rfam family "Eukaryotic small subunit ribosomal RNA", at positions 155 to 469 of the family's 1831-position model. Lineage: Eukaryota; Ciliophora; Spirotrichea. The record is from RNAcentral.
AUUCUAGAGCUAAUACAUGCGUAAAUGCCCGACUUUUUGGAAGGGCAGUAUUUAUUAGAUAUCAAGCCAGCGACCUUCGGGUGUUGUGGUGAAUCAUAGUAACUUAGCGGAUCGGCUGGGCGUUUGCCCACGACAAACCAUUCAAGUUUCUGCCCCAUCAGCUUUCGAUGGUAGUGUAUUGGACUACCAUGGCUUUUACGGGUGACGGAGGAUUAGGGUUCGAUUCCGGAGAGGGAGCCUGAGAAACGGCUACCACAUCCAAGGAAGGCAGCAGGCGCGUAAAUUACCCAAUCCUGACUCAGGGAGGUAGUG